Molecule: small nuclear RNA, 107 nt
Filed under: Microcebus murinus (gray mouse lemur)
Lineage: Eukaryota; Metazoa; Chordata; Mammalia; Primates; Cheirogaleidae
Source: RNAcentral
GUGCUGACUUCAAUAGCACAUAUACUAAAAUUGGAACAAUACAGAUAAGAUUAGCAUAGCCCCUGCAGAAGGAUGACACACAAAUUUGUGAAGUAUUCCAUACUUUU